AAAAAGGGUUCCCACCUAGUGGUGACCGGUUUACCUGCCGGGCGGAAUGGCGAUCAAGACAUUCCGGGGACAUAAUAUUUGACCACUGGACAGUCGGCUACAUCUGGCUGACGUCCAA
Non-coding RNA from Schistosoma margrebowiei, 118 nucleotides. The record is from Rfam. NCBI's taxonomy places the organism in Eukaryota, Metazoa, Platyhelminthes, Trematoda, Strigeidida, Schistosomatidae.